GACGAACGCUAGCGGCAGGCCUAAUACAUGCAAGUCGAACGGUAAGGUCUCUUCGGAGAUACACGAGUGGCGCACGGGUGCGUAACGCGUAUGCAACCUACCCUAAAGCGGGGAAAGUCGCGGGAAACUGCGAAUAAUACCCCAUGUGAUCUUAAUAUUUCAUGAUAUAAAGAUGAAAGCUCCGGCGCUUUAGGAUGGGCAUGCGUCCCAUUAGUUAGUUGGUAAGGUAACGGCUUACCAAGACAAUGAUGGGUAGCUGGUCUGAGAGGAUGAUCAGCCACACGGGCACUGAGACACGGGCCCG
Molecule: ribosomal RNA, 304 nt
Filed under: uncultured bacterium
Lineage: Bacteria
Description: bacterial SSU rRNA
Rfam family: Bacterial small subunit ribosomal RNA
Source: RNAcentral